GCAGUCAACUUAUUGAAUUCUAAGACAACUAACGACAGCAAAUGAGCCUCUAUAUAGAUAAAUUGCAGGAUUCUAGAGCAACAUAAGCACAAAGCAUAAGUCAAAAGGCAAUGACAUAUCUUGAGGUAUUAAGAUGAUAAAAGCUAGUAACACGACUACCUCAAUAUGCAAUCUUUGCGCCUUUCUUGCUUCAUGUAUGCACAGAAUCAUUAUAUAGUACAAAAAGUGUUAUUGCAUUCUUCAUGAAUGAUGCCUCGGGUUCAUUUGUCGAUUCUCAAGUGUCAUAGAACCAAAACAGCACCAGAAAACACAGAGCUCUGCCAUACCUCAAGCCCUUCAGCUUCUUCCCUGCUAACAAAAAGCCGUUCGCCACCCCCUUCGAUUUUACUGAUUAUCCCUCUCUCCGAAUCCUGCACUUUAUCAAUGUAGUUCCUCCUGAACGAUUCUUCACCAAUCUCCCUAUCACUUUCACCAUUCUGUGCAACUCGAGACCACACUUCAAGUCCACCAUCUCUCCCAACAAAAACCUGUUUCUUAUAACAAUGCACCACACUAUUACUAAUCCCUCCACUAGUAUUCCUCAAACUCGGAUUCGUCUCUCGUAAAUACACCCACGGAUCAUCCCCCAACUUCCUCAAAUCCGCCAUCGCCAGGUCACCAGACUUCGAACAUAUCUUACACAUAGUCAGUUCAUCCACAUCAAAACUAACAUCAGCAAACGAAUCUCCAAACCUACUACUCCGCCCCGAACCUGGCUCGUUCGUCUCCCAAACCACAUGCGCUGUUCUCGGAUCCCAUAGACGAAUGUAACCAGAGAAACCGAACGCUCCAGACGUUAUUGCGGUUGCAGCUAGAACUCCAAGCUCCUUCACGUAAGUUAGGGUUCCAGGAACGGUCGAUUUCGAUGAAUUUCCGGACUGUCUACCGAUUUCUGACGUCACCUGGAGCGUUGACUUAUCAAUCGCGAGUACACAAUUCUCCUUGUGGUGCGAAUCGAAAGCGGAAAACACGAGAUCCGGUGAGUCGGUUACUGCGGUUACUCGAGCUUUAUAGAUCCGAGGAUCUGUACGGUCGAUCCACUCGACGGAGCCGACGCGACGGCCGUUAGCGAAGUUAUAGAAAUGAACACCGGAAGCAACAUCCGAAGCAACGGCGGUUAUCGGAGUUGACGUCACUUGCUUAAUAGAAGUAAUAGAGUCAAGGUGAGUCCGUACAGUACCUGCGUGCGUUAGAUUCCAAUCGUAAACAGAGAUCUGGCCGCCGUGAGCUAUCCAAACCGAUCCGUCGUCAAUCGCCGUGAAAGCGGUUACAAAACCGUCAGAUGCAGGUCGAAUUGUGGAGACGAUAGCAGCGUCGAUGCCGGAGAGUGGAUUCGGAAGCAUGGCAGACUUGAGGUGAGAUUCGAUGCCGUAGUAUGAGGCUUCAUCGGAGAGUUCUUGAUCGGUGAAGCGGCG
Molecule: long non-coding RNA, 1454 nt
Filed under: Helianthus annuus (common sunflower)
Lineage: Eukaryota; Viridiplantae; Streptophyta; Magnoliopsida; Asterales; Asteraceae
Source: RNAcentral